UUUCCAAAAAAGUUAGAAUAACUUCCUCUCGCGGAGACCUCGGUUUUGCACAAGCCGGCCUUGAAAUCAGAGCCUCUCGAGCAACUCGGAGAGCGUGUGCUCGGCGACCGCGGGCUUGGGCAGCGGCGCGCGCUCGGCGCCCGGCGCCCCUAGCCCCAAGCGCGCCGGGCGGGCGCCAUGGAGGAGGGCUCCAGCUCGCCCGUGUCCCCCGUGGACAGCCUGGGCACCAGCGAGGAGGAGCUCGAGAGGCAGCCCAAGCGCUUCGGCCGGAAGCGGCGCUACAGCAAGAAGUCGAGUGAAGAUGGCAGCCCGACCCCAGGCAAGCGCGGCAAGAAGGGCAGCCCGAGCGCGCAGUCCUUCGAGGAGCUGCAGAGCCAGCGCAUCCUGGCCAACGUGCGCGAGCGCCAGCGCACCCAGUCGCUCAACGAGGCCUUCGCCGCGCUGCGCAAGAUCAUCCCCACGCUGCCCUCGGACAAGCUCAGCAAGAUCCAGACGCUCAAGCUGGCCGCCAGGUACAUAGACUUCCUCUACCAGGUCCUGCAGAGCGACGAGAUGGACAAUAAGAUGACCAGCUGCAGCUACGUGGCCCACGAGCGCCUCAGCUACGCCUUCUCCGUGUGGCGCAUGGAGGGCGCGUGGUCCAUGUCCGCCUCCCACUAGCGCCGCGCCACCCACGUCUGGACCCGAGCGCCAGGAGCAGUGUAAUCUUGGUCACAGCAAAAUUGAGGAAAAGUAGAAUGAUUUCCUGUGUACCCCCCCACCUCCGCACGUGCACAGCCUCCCUUGUCGUCAGCGUCCUCCACCAGAGGGUGCAUCUGUCACAGUUGAUGAACCUACCCAGACACGGCCUCAUCACCCCAAAACCAGAGGCUGUCCUGUGGGGCUGAGGCUCAAGUGGAACUGGGACGCCUCCACAUCUGUCACUUCUGAAACCUGAACAACCUCAAGGAAGCCUCCCCAUCUGCGGUCCAGCACAGCGUGUGGACGAGGGGACAGCAGCGGCACCGAGUGGGAGAGCCCGGACUGCUCAGCUCCUGCCCCAGAGAUGGUCCCCACAGAGGACGCGGCACUCACGGUCCUUCUUGCCGGUGACAUUUCCUUGUCAUCCUGGCCACUGUUCGGAUAUUUCUUCUCGGUUUUAUUUUUUUUUUUUAGGGGGGGGAUUUAUUCUUUCCGAAAAUCUCUAGAUUCAGGAACAUAUUUACAAGGAUUGAAAUUUUGGAUUUGUAUUUCCCUCUAAGUGCCUUUUUUUAAUGUAUAUUUUUUUAAUAAAACAGAAAUGCAUUCCUGUACCUUCUGUUUAAACUGGACCAAGGCUCUCAGAAAAAGAACCUCGUGUUCCCUGACCCCCAGCCUCUGCAUGACUGUUCCACGAAAGCCUGGGACCCUCCUCACUCCUCGCCUCUUCUCUUUCUCAUGAUUUGCUCAGCUAACCAUUUUUAAAAUAUUUUCUGUUUCAGUGUAUAUGUUGCUUAUUUGUUUUAUUUAUUGAGAUAUUUUUAACAAGCUCGGUGACUGCAACGUGGCUGUGUACCCCGCUCCCCUCCCAGGAAUAAUAAAGAUGUCGGUGCAGCGCG
This is an RNA transcript of Neogale vison (American mink), 1577 nucleotides long. It is a transcript of the gene named twist family bHLH transcription factor 2, with no coding region annotated. Lineage: Eukaryota; Metazoa; Chordata; Mammalia; Carnivora; Mustelidae. The record is from RefSeq and is a predicted model, not a curated record. The transcript is spliced from 3 exons.